This 495-nucleotide ribosomal RNA is filed under the name uncultured bacterium. RNAcentral describes it as "partial 16S ribosomal RNA". It matches the Rfam family "Bacterial small subunit ribosomal RNA", at positions 28 to 507 of the family's 1533-position model. The record is from RNAcentral.
GACGAACGCUGGCGGCGUGCCUAAUACAUGCAAGUAGAACGCUGAAGGAGGAGCUUGCUUCUCUGGAUGAGUUGCGAACGGGUGAGUAACGCGUAGGUAACCUGCCUGGUAGCGGGGGAUAACUAUUGGAAACGAUAGCUAAUACCGCAUAAGAGUAGAUGUUGCAUGACAUUUGCUUAAAAGGUGCAAUUGCAACACUACCAGAUGGACCUGCGUUGUAUUAGCUAGUUGGUGGGGUAACGGCUCACCAAGGCGACGAUACAUAGCCGACCUGAGAGGGUGAUCGGCCACACUGGGACUGAGACACGGCCCAGACUCCUACGGGAGGCAGCAGUAGGGAAUCUUCGGCAAUGGACGGAAGUCUGACCGAGCAACGCCGCGUGAGUGAAGAAGGUUUUCGGAUCGUAAAGCUCUGUUGUAAGAGAAGAACGAGUGUGAGAGUGGAAAGUUCACACUGUGACGGUAUCUUACCAGAAAGGGACGGCUAACUACGUG